GACGAACGCUGGCGGCGUGCUUAACACAUGCAAGUCGAACGGAAAGGCCCUGCUUUUGUGGGGUGCUCGAGUGGCGAACGGGUGAGUAACACGUGAGUAACCUGCCCUUGACUUUGGGAUAACUUCAGGAAACUGGGGCUAAUACCGGAUAGGAGCUCCUGCUCCAUGGUGGGGGUUGGAAAGUUUCGGCGGUUGGGGAUGGACUCGCGGCUUAUCAGCUUGUUGGUGGGGUAGUGGCUUACCAAGGCUUUGACGGGUAGGCGGCCUGAGAGGGUGACCGGCCACAAUGGGACUGAGAUACGGCCCAGACUCCUACGGGAGGCAGCAGUGGGGAAUAUUGCACAAUGGGCGGAAGCCUGAUGCAGCAACGCCGCGUGCGGGAUGACGGCCUUCGGGUUGUAAACCGCUUUCGCCUGUGACGAAGCGUGAGUGACGGUAAUGGGUAAAGAAGCACCGGCUAACUACGUG
Molecule: ribosomal RNA, 468 nt
Filed under: uncultured bacterium
Lineage: Bacteria
Description: partial 16S ribosomal RNA
Rfam family: Bacterial small subunit ribosomal RNA
Source: RNAcentral